Molecule: transfer RNA, 71 nt
Filed under: Loxodonta africana (African savanna elephant)
Lineage: Eukaryota; Metazoa; Chordata; Mammalia; Proboscidea; Elephantidae
Rfam family: tRNA
About the family: Transfer RNA (tRNA) molecules are approximately 80 nucleotides in length. Their secondary structure includes four short double-helical elements and three loops (D, anti-codon, and T loops).
Source: Rfam by way of RNAcentral
GCAGUGGUGGUUCGACGGUAGAAUUCUUGCCUUGCACGUGGGAGACCCGGGUUCGAUUCCCAGCCCUUCCU